Molecule: unclassified non-coding RNA, 352 nt
Filed under: soil metagenome
Description: partial contains 5.8S ribosomal RNA, internal transcribed spacer 2, and large subunit ribosomal RNA
Rfam family: 5.8S ribosomal RNA (bases 1-120)
Source: RNAcentral
GAUGAAGAACGCAGCGAAAUGCGAUAAGUAAUGUGGAUUGCAGAAUUCAGUGAAUCAUCGAAUCUUUGAACGCACAUUGCGCCCGCCAGUAUUCUGGCGGGCAUGCCUGUUCGAGCGUCAUUACAACCCUCAGGCCCCCGGGCCUGGCGUUGGGGAUCGGCGGAGCCCCCCGUGGGCACACGCCGUCCCCCAAAUGCAGUGGCGGUCCCGCCGCAGCUUCCAUCGCGUAGUAGCUAACACCUCGCGACUGGAGAGCGGCGCGGCCACGCCGUAAAACACCCAACUCUUCUGAAGUUGACCUCGAAUCAGGUAGGAAUACCCGCUGAACUUAAGCAUAUCAAUAAGCGGAGGA